AGCGAACGCUGGCGGUAGGCCUAACACAUGCAAGUCGAACGAAGUCUUCGGACUUAGUGGCGGACGGGUGAGUAACACGUGGGAACGUGCCUUUAGGUUCGGAAUAACUCAGGGAAACUUGUGCUAAUACCGAAUGUGCCCUUCGGGGGAAAGAUUUAUCGCCUUUAGAGCGGCCCGCGUCUGAUUAGCUAGUUGGUGAGGUAAAGGCUCACCAAGGCGACGAUCAGUAGCUGGUCUGAGAGGAUGAUCAGCCACACUGGGACUGAGACACGGCCCAAACUCCUACGGGAGGCAGCAGUGGGGAAUCUUGCGCAGUGGGCGAAAGCCUGACGCAGCCAUGCCGCGUGAAUGAUGAAGGUCUUAGGAUUGUAAAAUUCUUUCACCGGGGACGAUAAUGACGGUACCCGGAGAAGAAGCCCCGGCUAACUUCGUGCCAGCAGCCGCAGUAA
This 449-nucleotide ribosomal RNA is filed under the name uncultured bacterium. Its description in RNAcentral is "partial 16S ribosomal RNA". It matches the Rfam family "Bacterial small subunit ribosomal RNA", at positions 29 to 523 of the family's 1533-position model. The record is from RNAcentral.